CGGACGGGUGAGUAACGCGUGAGAAUCUGCCUUUAGAUGGGGGAUAACGGGUCGAAAGACUCGCUAAUACCGCAUAUGACGAGAGUUGAAAGGAGUAAUCCGUCUAAAGAUGAGCCCGCGUCCGAUUAGCUAGUUGGUAGAGUAAAAGCCUACCAAGGCGACGAUCGGUAGCUGGUCUGAGAGGAUGAUCAGCCACAAUGGGACUGAGACACGGCCCAUACUCCUACGGGAGGCAGCAGUGGGGAAUUUUACGCAAUGGGCGAAAGCCUGACGUAGCGACACCGCGUGAGCGAAGAAGCCCCUUGGGGUGUAAAGCUCUGUCAGCUGGAACGAAAAAAAUGACGGUACCAGCAGAGGAAGCAUCGGCUAACUCCGUGCCAGCAGCCGCGGUAAGACGUAGGAUGCAAGCGUUGUCCGGAUUUAUUGGGCGUAAAGAGUUCGUAGGUGGUUUGUUAAGUUUGGUGUUAAAGAUUGGGGCUCAACCCUGAAACUGCACUGAAUACUGGCAGACUCGAGUGUGGUAGAGGCUAGUGGAAUUCCCAGUGUAGCGGUGAAAUGCGUAGAUAUUGGGAAGAACACCGGUGGCGUAGGCGACUAGCUGGGCCAUAACUGACACUGAGGAACGAAAGCCAGGGGAGCGAAUGGGAUUAGAUACCCCAGUAGUC
This 665-nucleotide ribosomal RNA is filed under the name uncultured cyanobacterium. RNAcentral's name for it is "bacterial SSU rRNA". It matches the Rfam family "Bacterial small subunit ribosomal RNA", at positions 99 to 795 of the family's 1533-position model. The record is from RNAcentral. Lineage: Bacteria; Bacillati; Cyanobacteriota.